ACGAUGGUAAUGAAUUGGCCCGAUCGAUUUGUGUGGGGAGCUUCCGGUAGGCAACACUUGCGAGUCCAUUAGGAUCUACAACUGCGUAUUAUGUUCAAGGCAAUGGGGCACCGCUUACAGGAGCUAAUGAUCCUUUUCUUCUUAGCAAUCUUCUCCAAGGCGGCCGAGGGCCUCAAGCCUUGCAGGGCAAUCGUUGCACCGGAUGCAGCUAAUAAUAAUUAUUGCCUCAGCUGGAGGUUGGCAGUGGAGGCCAAUAAUGUGCGAGGAUGGUGGACUGUCCCUGCUCGAUGCUUGCACUAUGUUGAAGCUUACAUGGUGGGUGGGCAAUAUGAUAGGGACAUUGACUUAAUUACAGAGCAGAUUUUGAGCUAUGUGAGUGGGAUUGUUCUCUCCGGCGAUGGUAUGGAUGCCUGGAUUCUUGACGUUG
This 427-nucleotide unclassified non-coding RNA is filed under the name Hevea brasiliensis (rubber tree). Lineage: Eukaryota; Viridiplantae; Streptophyta; Magnoliopsida; Malpighiales; Euphorbiaceae. The record is from RNAcentral.